Molecule: long non-coding RNA, 1170 nt
Organism: Dreissena polymorpha
Lineage: Eukaryota; Metazoa; Mollusca; Bivalvia; Myida; Dreissenidae
Exons: 2
Source: RefSeq, a predicted model, not a curated record
AUACAAACAAAGGGAUGAGACACUCACUGAACCGAAGAAGAAACUAACGCGUUGUUACGCAAAAGGGAAACGAGACUUGCGACCCAACGAGACUUCGCGCUUCGAGGCAAAUUUUCACAGCCGCCAUUUUGACAAAGCGAGACCGUGACAAAGCAAUCGAGAAAGAAUAAGAGUACAAAUUAACCAAGUGUUGCCAGCACAGAAGUAUUCAUUGCAAAGUGUGCUGAAAAGAAGCAAAAGAGGGUCUCUUGCUCUUUAGACGGAAAGUUUGACCCCGCAAAGAAAAAUGUCAUGACGCCAGCGAAACUUGGGCGUACAAACCCAGGUCAUUUCCACAUUAAAAACUUUGAAUGGUUGAAAAACAUUGUGGACUUUAAAUAGUGCUGACAUACAUGUGUGUUCACAGCUAUGCCAAGGAUACGGAUACUGUCUGAUUCAACACGGAAAUUGGAUUCCUUUCUUUUCCUGAGACGUACCUUGACCAUCCCAGCACUAAGAUGAUGUUACUAUAUUCAUGUCUACUAUAUAAAGCAGUGGCGACAACAAACUUCACAAACCUUCAGACUUGCCGAAGACAAAAGAAAAUUCAGUAUGAAUUAGUUUUAAAUAUUCAAUUGAUUAAAUUAAACAUUUGCAUUUUUUCAUAAAUGAACACAUUCCAGCAGUGAAUAUCUCUGCUUAACUCAAAAGUGACUGUUAGAUCUUUGAUCAUGUUAAUCAAAAAUGUGUUCCCAAAACUCAUUAUAAAUAUAAAAUUUUCAAACUUGUUUAAACAAGAUAAUUUGGUAUUUAAUUUUAGUAAGCUUUUUGUAUUGCUGUAGGCUUCGAAUAAAUCUUCUGCAUAACCAUGUCAGGAGGAAUCUCAAUCUUUUGUUGUUGAAAUAAUAAAUAGAAAAUUGUUAGUAUUAUUAUCAAAUUUUUGUUGUUCUAUUUCACAUUGCAAAUGGUAACUUGUGCAAAAUCUUUUACAAACAUGUGAUUUUUUUACAUGCUAUUGAGUUUUUAAAAUAUUUUCUUUAACUGAAUGCUCAUUACACUUAGUAACAUGAAUGUAUUGUUACACAUACUCUUAAACUUAAAUAAUACCAAGAUUACCUAUCAUGCAUGAACUAAUGUGUAUGUUUCAGUGAUUAACUGAUUUAUACUGAGAAAUAAAACAUAAACGACUUU